This 403-nucleotide ribosomal RNA is filed under the name uncultured bacterium. RNAcentral's name for it is "bacterial SSU rRNA". It matches the Rfam family "Bacterial small subunit ribosomal RNA", at positions 355 to 774 of the family's 1533-position model. The record is from RNAcentral.
UGAGGAAUAUUGCACAAUGGGCGCAAGCCUGAUGCAGCAACGCCGCGUGCGGGACGAAGGCCUUCGGGUCGUAAACCGCUUUUCUGGGGGAAGAGCAAGGACGGUACCUCAGGAAUAAGUCUCGGCUAACUACGUGCCAGCAGCCGCGGUAAAACGUAGGAGGCGAGCGUUAUCCGGAUUUACUGGGCGUAAAGCGCACGCAGGCGGCUCUGUUAGUCGGACGUGAAAGCUCUCGGCUUAACCGGGAGAGGCCGUUCGAUACUGCGGGGGUGGAGGUAGGGAGAGGAAUGCGGAAUACCCGGUGUAGUGGUGGAAUGCGUAGAUAUCGGGAGGAACACCUGUGGCGAAAGCGGCAUUCUGGCCCUCACCUGACGGUGAGGUGCGAAAGCGUGGGUAGCAAACA